CAACAAUUGAUGUACCAGUUGUCAUAGGUGCUCUGCAAAAAUACAUACAUUCAAGUACAAAUUGUUAUAAUCUUAGGUUAUAUCCUCUAUAGUCAACAUUUUUAAAACGAAAUUAAACUUACUGUGAUCUUUGACGUAUUCCCUGAUCGACGGAUUGAUUGACGUUCCCAGGAAAAUUAUAAAAACAGCCCGGUGAAGGACCAUUUUGCCAAAAAGGUGCAGGAGCAGACCAAGCGUUAUUCCCAGAAA
RNAcentral lists this long non-coding RNA (249 nucleotides) under Polistes fuscatus (common paper wasp). RNAcentral describes it as "uncharacterized LOC122526579". The record is from RNAcentral. Lineage: Eukaryota; Metazoa; Arthropoda; Insecta; Hymenoptera; Vespidae.